This 73-nucleotide transfer RNA is filed under the name Diaphorina citri (Asian citrus psyllid). It matches the Rfam family "tRNA". From Rfam's summary of the family: Transfer RNA (tRNA) molecules are approximately 80 nucleotides in length. Their secondary structure includes four short double-helical elements and three loops (D, anti-codon, and T loops). Lineage: Eukaryota; Metazoa; Arthropoda; Insecta; Hemiptera; Psyllidae. The record is from Rfam by way of RNAcentral.
GCCUAGUUAGCUUAGUUGGUAGUGCGUCUGCCUUGUAAGCGUUAGGCCGUGGGUUCGAUUCCCGCCCGGGGCG